RNAcentral lists this non-coding RNA (26 nucleotides) under Homo sapiens (human). The record is from RNAcentral. Lineage: Eukaryota; Metazoa; Chordata; Mammalia; Primates; Hominidae.
UGCACCCUGGCAGGGAGCCAUCUGAA